GAUGAAGAACGCAGCAAAAUGCGAUAAGUAAUGUGAAUUGCAGAAUUCAGUGAAUCAUCGAAUCUUUGAACGCACAUUGCGCCCGCCAGUAUUCUGGCGGGCAUGCCUGUUCGAGCGUCAUUUCAACCCUCAAGCACAGCUUGGUGUUGGGACUCGCGUUAAUUCGCGUUCCCCAAAUUGAUUGGCGGUCACGUCGAGCUUCCAUAGCGUAGUAGUAAAACCCUCGUUACUGGUAAUCGUCGCGGCCACGUCGUUAAACCCCAACUUCUGAAUGUUGACCUCGGAUCAGGUAGGAAUACCCGCUGAACUUAAGCAUAUCAAUAAGCGGAGGA
This 332-nucleotide unclassified non-coding RNA is filed under the name soil metagenome. RNAcentral describes it as "partial contains 5.8S ribosomal RNA, internal transcribed spacer 2, and large subunit ribosomal RNA". The stretch from base 1 to 120 matches the Rfam family "5.8S ribosomal RNA", at positions 35 to 154 of the family's 154-position model. The record is from RNAcentral.